This is a long non-coding RNA of Argiope bruennichi, 448 nucleotides long. RefSeq lists it as uncharacterized. Lineage: Eukaryota; Metazoa; Arthropoda; Arachnida; Araneae; Araneidae. The transcript is spliced from 3 exons. The record is from RefSeq and is a predicted model, not a curated record.
CAUCUAUACGCAGCGUCGAAUGGAGUAUUGGAAAAUGGCGUUCAUGAAUUGUACUAGAUUUGGUACUCAUUUACAUAGAAGAGUUCUCUAAAUUUUGGAGUUGGACAUAUGACAGCAUUUCAUAUUCUGACAUAAGGUAAAACAGGAAUUAAGGAUUUUAUCAGUUUAUCUUUACCAAAAGUUUCAACAUAGAACAAAAUCCAAGGUAUCCAUUGUCAUCUACUGUUCAGUUCCUCAUGCUGAAAGCUUCUGAGAAAAGUAACACAUUUAUUUUUUGGCUAACAGAAAUAUAUAUUGUUUAUAACUGUUUGAUUUUAUGAAAUCCUAGAAUUUACACAAUAUUUUAAUUCUAUGCCCACUCAUUCAGCAGGAUCUUGUGCAUGUAAUUUUUCAAAAAAGAAAUUAAAUCAACUGGAAAAUUCAAAUCUAACUCAUGGUGAACCCUGGA